Molecule: ribosomal RNA, 329 nt
Filed under: uncultured eukaryote
Lineage: Eukaryota
Description: partial 18S ribosomal RNA
Rfam family: Eukaryotic small subunit ribosomal RNA
Source: RNAcentral
CCCUUAGAUGUUCUGGGCCGCACGCGCGCUACACUGACGAUGGCAACGAGUUUUUCCUUCGCCGAGAGGUGUGGGUAAUCUUUUGAAACAUCGUCGUGCUGGGGAUAGAUCAUUGCAAUUUUUGAUCUUGAACGAGGAAUUCCUAGUAAGCGCGAGUCAUCAGCUCGCGUUGAUUACGUCCCUGCCCUUUGUACACACCGCCCGUCGCUACUACCGAUUGAAUGGUUUAGUGAGGACUCCUGAUUGGCGCCGCCGCCCCGGCAACGGAGCAGCGGACUGCCGAAAAGUUGUUCAAACUUGAUCAUUUAGAGGAAGUAAAAGUCGUAACA